CAACUUCCGGGCAGAAGGAAGAGACAGAGGAAGGAGAAAAAAAAGUGACCAGAGGCAAGGUGCAAGGAGCAGGAAACCAAGAGAAAGCUUAUACCUCCAGACAGAAUGCAAAGGCAAAAAUAAUUGGCAUCUCUGUAAUAGGGGAUGACUGGCUGUGGGUACAGCAAUAAACAGGGAAGUGAAUAUGAACUCGGAUCAAGCAUGUGGG
Molecule: long non-coding RNA, 208 nt
Filed under: Phasianus colchicus (ring-necked pheasant)
Lineage: Eukaryota; Metazoa; Chordata; Aves; Galliformes; Phasianidae
Description: lncRNA (ENSPCLG00000012776.1)
Source: RNAcentral